Molecule: ribosomal RNA, 1347 nt
Filed under: uncultured bacterium
Lineage: Bacteria
Description: bacterial SSU rRNA
Rfam family: Bacterial small subunit ribosomal RNA
Source: RNAcentral
AAUGAACGCUGGCGGCGUGCUUAACACAUGCAAGUCGAACGGAAAGGCCCUUGCUUGCAACGGAGCUCGAGUGGCAAACGGGAGAAUAACACAUAAGUGAUCUGCCCUGCGCUGGAGGAUAACCUUGAGAAAAUGGGUCUAAUACCCUAUACGACCGCAUCAUGGUUGGUGAGCUGCAAAGGUUUUUCUGGUGUGGGAUGAGCUUGCGGACUAUCAACUUGGUGGUGGGGAAAUGGCCUACCAAGACGACCACUGGUAGCCCGCAUAAGAUGAUGUGCCGCCACAUUGCUGACUGACAUACCGCCACACACUCCUACAGGAGGCAGCAGUGAAGAAUUUUGCACAAUGGGAACCAAGCCUGAUGCAUCGACGUCGUGUGGAGAAUGAAUGCCUUCUGGUUGUAAACUCCUUUCAUCAGGAACCAACUUUUUUUGACAGUACCUGAAUAAGAAGCACCCGCUAACUACAUGCCACCAGCCACUCUAAUACAUACGGCGCGAGCGUUGUCAGGAUUUACUGGGCGUACAGAUCUCCUAGGUGGUGUGUCCCGUCAUCUGUGUAAUCCAGGGGCUUAACUUUUGCUUGACAUGCGAUACGGGCAUUGCUUGAGUGCUGUAGGGGAGACUGAAAUUCCUGGUGUAGCGGUGAAAUGCGCAGAUAUCAAGAAGAACACCGAUGGCGAAGGCAGGUCUCUGGGCAGUUACUGACGCCGAGGAGCGAGAGCAUGGGUAGCGAACAGGAUUAGAUACCCUGGUAGUCUAUGCUGUAAACGGUGGGCGCUAGGUGUGAGUCCCUUCCACGGGGUUUGUGCCGCAACUAACGCUUUAAGCGCCCCGCUUGGGGAGUACCGCCGCAAGGUUAAAAUUCAAAGGAAUUGACGGGGGCCCGCCCAAGCGGCGGAGCAUGUGGAUUAAUUGGAUGCAACGGGAAGACACCUUACCUGGGCUUGACAUAUGUGGGAUUGCGGCAGAGAUGUUGUUUCCCCUUGUGGCUCACGUACAGGUGGUGCAUGGUUGUCGUCAGCUCGUGUCGUGAGAUGUUGGGUUAAGUCCCGCAACGAGCGCAACCCUUGUCUUAUGUUGCCAGCAUGUUGUGGUGGGGACUCGUGAGAGACUGCCGGGGUUAACUCGGAGGAAGGUGGGGAUGACGUCAAAUCAUCAUGCCCCUUAUGUCCAGGGCUUCACACAUGCUACAAUGGCUGGUACAGUGCGUGUGCCACACUGUGAGGUGGAGCUAAUCGCUAAAGCCAGUUUCAGUUCGGAUUGGGGUUUGCAACUUGACCUUAUGAAGUUGGAGUCGCUAGUAAUUGCAGAUCAGCAGUGCUGCGGUGAAUACGUUCCCGGGCCU